AUUGAACGCUGGCGGCAGGCCUAACACAUGCAAGUCGAACGAGUGGCGGACGGGUGAGUAAUGUCUGGGAAACUGCCUGAUGGCGGGGGAUAACUACAGGAAACGGUAGCUAAUACCGCAUACCAUCUGAUGUGCCCAGAUGGGCUUAGCUAGUAGGGGGGGUAACGGCUCACAUAGGCGACGAUCCCUAGCUGGGCUGAGAGGAUUACCAGCCACACUGGAACUGAGAAACGGUCCAGACUCCUACGGGAGGCAGCAGUGGGGAAUAUUGGACAAUGGGCGAAAGCCUGAUGCAGCCAUGCCGCGUGUAUGAAGAAGGCCUUCGGGUUGUAAAGUACUUUCAGCGGGGAGGCGUUACCCGCAGAAGAAGCACCGGCUAACUCCGUGCCAGCAGCCGCGGUAAUAC
This 406-nucleotide ribosomal RNA is filed under the name uncultured bacterium. RNAcentral's name for it is "partial 16S ribosomal RNA". It matches the Rfam family "Bacterial small subunit ribosomal RNA", at positions 30 to 526 of the family's 1533-position model. The record is from RNAcentral.